UAAGCAAGAUAAGCGCCAGAGCUUGCGUGAUGAAUGAUCUGUGGUAGAGCUAAGAUAGAUUAGCUUGAAGCGGGUGUUCAUACGGGAAGCUGACGAGGUGAAGGUGUUCGAAACAUUCGGCGGGGACCUUCCGGUAUUACAAGCCAACCGAAAGCCGUUACGUAAAACGGCCGGGCGACCGGUCAUACAAUCGUGCGGCAGGCUUCGAU
This 209-nucleotide non-coding RNA is filed under the name Paenibacillus sp. RNAcentral describes it as "GlcN6P sequence". It matches the Rfam family "glmS glucosamine-6-phosphate activated ribozyme aptamer". From Rfam's summary of the family: This entry contains a glucosamine-6-phosphate activated ribozyme that is found in the mRNA for GlmS. GlmS is an enzyme that uses fructose-6-phosphate and glutamine to generate glucosamine-6-phosphate. The record is from RNAcentral. Lineage: Bacteria; Bacillati; Bacillota; Bacilli; Caryophanales; Paenibacillaceae.